RNAcentral lists this ribosomal RNA (390 nucleotides) under uncultured bacterium. Its description in RNAcentral is "bacterial SSU rRNA". It matches the Rfam family "Bacterial small subunit ribosomal RNA", at positions 28 to 419 of the family's 1533-position model. The record is from RNAcentral.
GACGAACGCUGGCGGCGUGCUUAACACAUGCAAGUCGAGCGGUAAGGCCCUUUCGGGGGUACACGAGCGGCGAACGGGUGAGUAACACGUGGGUGACCUGCCCUCAGCUCUGGGAUAAGCCUGGGAAACUGGGUCUAAUACUGGAUAUGACUCCACGGUGCAUGUCGUGGGGUGGAAAGCCUUGUGCGGCUGAGGAUGGGCCCGCGGCCUAUCAACUUGUUGGUGGGGUGAUGGCCUACCAAGGCGACGACGGGUAGCCGGCCUGAGAGGGCGACCGGCCACACUGGGACUGAGACACGGCCCAGACUCCUACGGGAGGCAGCAGUGGGGAAUCUUGCGCAAUGGGCGAAAGCCUGACGCAGCGACGCCGCGUGAGGGAUGACGGCCUGG